AAGCAAAUACCAGAUGGUUCCUUGGUACCUGUCUGUGGGGCAGAAUUGGAAGUCAGCUCAGCCUACUUUUAGGGCAGGAAACACUGAAUGGAGUGUGCUUGAUUUACUAUAGACACUGACUCAGCUUUGGCCAAUGGAACAGACAAAUCAGUCUCUGGACUACUUUCAAAAGCUUUGCCUGUGCUAGAGCAUGCUUCCAUGCGAGAGGGACCUGCCUGGAUUACUACUCUGGCUCUGAAGAUGGAUGUUAUAAGUGAUUAAACCAUGCUGCCCCUA
This is a long non-coding RNA of Mastomys coucha (southern multimammate mouse), 276 nucleotides long. RefSeq lists it as uncharacterized. The transcript has 2 exons. Lineage: Eukaryota; Metazoa; Chordata; Mammalia; Rodentia; Muridae. The record is from RefSeq and is a predicted model, not a curated record.